UCAACANAGGGAUGCAAUACCGUGAGGUGGAGCGAACCCCUAAAAAAUCGUCCCAGUUCAGAUUGCAGUCUGCAACUCGACUGCAUGAAGUCGGAAUCGCUAGUAAUCGCGGAUCAGCAUGCCGCGGUGAAUACGUUCCCGGGCCUUGUACACACCGCCCGUCACACCAUGAGAGUCGGGAACACCCGAAGUCCGUAGCCUAACCGCAAGGGGGGCGCGGCCGAAGGUGGGUUCGAUAAUUGGGGUGAAGUCGUAACAAGGUAAC
This 265-nucleotide ribosomal RNA is filed under the name uncultured bacterium. RNAcentral describes it as "partial 16S ribosomal RNA". It matches the Rfam family "Bacterial small subunit ribosomal RNA", at positions 1236 to 1500 of the family's 1533-position model. The record is from RNAcentral.